UUCAAUUAGGUUGGUUUAAAUAAUGAAACCACCUUGAACCAAUCUCCAUGCGCCACCUCACUUCCAUUGCACCCAUUUGAAUUCAUGAGAACUUCUCAUGAAUUUUUUCUCAUGCCAAGCCUUUCUCCAUGCCCCACUUUAAUGUGCCAAGUGAAUGGAUAAGGUUGGCCAUUCAAAUUCAAAAUAAUGUUUGAAUUUGAAUGGGCAAUUAAUCUUUGUGCCUUAUCCCUUGUUUUAUGCCCCAAUUAAUUACAUGAGAAAAUGUUUCUCAUGAAAUC
This 278-nucleotide long non-coding RNA is filed under the name Elaeis guineensis (African oil palm). RNAcentral's name for it is "long non-coding RNA (EGUI_LNC059517)". The record is from RNAcentral. Lineage: Eukaryota; Viridiplantae; Streptophyta; Magnoliopsida; Arecales; Arecaceae.